This 440-nucleotide ribosomal RNA is filed under the name uncultured bacterium. RNAcentral's name for it is "partial 16S ribosomal RNA". It matches the Rfam family "Bacterial small subunit ribosomal RNA", at positions 338 to 795 of the family's 1533-position model. The record is from RNAcentral.
CCUACGGGUGGCAGCAGUGGGGAAUAUUGCACAAUGGGGGAAACCCUGAUGCAGCGACGCCGCGUGAAUGAAGAAGUAUUUCGGUAUGUAAAGUUCUAUCAGCAGGGACGAAAAUGACGGUAACUGAAUAAGAAACCCCGGCUAACUAAGUGCCAGCAGCCGCGGUAAUACGUAGGGGGCAAGCGGUAGCCGGAUUUACUGGGGUGAAAGGGAGUGUAGGCGGGGAAGGAAGUCAGAAGUGAAAGCCCGGGGCUCAACCCCCGGACUGCGUUUGAAACUGUGGGACUUGAGUGCAGGAGAGGUAAGUGGAAUUCCUAGUGUAGCGGUGAAAUGCGUAGAUAUUAGGAGGAACACCAGUGGCGAAGGCGGCUUACUGGACUGUAAAUGACGCUGAGGCUCGAAAGCGUGGGGAGCAAACAGGAUUAGAUACCCUGGUAGUC